CCCAAAUUACAGAACUCUUCUAAUGCCUUUUUAUAACAUUUUUUCAGUUCUGUAUUAUAUCCUGUUAGUGUGGUUUCUCUCCUAUCUGUACAUUUCUCAGGAUUGCUUCUUCCCUUCCACUUUCUGUGAUCAGCAUUUAUUAUCCAGAUGCUUACCACAAAACAAGGCUUAAGUAACAAAGACACAUGGAUGCUGACCCAGAUACAGCUCACCACCAACUUUUUUCUUUCCUUCCCCUCAGCAAUAAUGUGCUUAUUACCGUGUUGAGGAGUCUUUGUUAAAAGGUUCAGCUUCUCCUACCCUUUGGUGUUAAAAAUAAUCUCAUUAGCUGGAACUUUACUUGAUUAGCAAAAAAGCUCUCAGGGAAGAGGUGCUAGGAUGGACUCAAGGUGUAAAUAAACAAGAGCAAAUUCCAUCCUGCUUCCUUAUCAGCUCCUGGAGACUUUCAGUACUAAAAAGCAGCCCUGGCUCAGAGGGGCAGGGAUGGAGUGAUCCCUGGCUCACUGAGGCAAGGGGAUUUAGGGUGGUCUGCCCUAGGCUGCAGGCUGCUCCACUGCAGCUCUUUCAGGAUAGCUUCACACAAUGCUCUGCAUUUCCCCAGAGUUUGCUGGAGCUUCCCAGCAUGAACAGCUGAUUUCUGCCUGCCCAAGCUUCAAGAAAUGCAGCUGAGUGACCUUGUCCCCUCUGUAUCACUCACUGGGCCAAGGGAAACCUGGGCAGCUGUGCAGGUUGGGGAUACUGAGUGGUUAGAUGGUGCCCAAGGAGAGUCAGUUAAUUGUGUGUUCUGUUCUCUUGCUGACAGGAAAGCUGGGCUUUUUUUUUGUCCAGUAUUGGCAAAGGGACAGUUGAUUUCUGCAGCUCCAUCCUGCAGGAGCCAGAGCGUGCCUCUCCUCUGCCAGAAGACUCUUCUGCUUGGAGGGGUGUCUGAGCCUGACAAGCGUGAUGAGUCUGAAUCAGAGAUAUGGCUACAGAGAAGAGCACGUGCUUGUCUCCUGGAUAUUCCUGCAGCUCUGCAGAAGCACUCUGAACAGCCACAAGUAAGUUGGUCUUUACAGCUUGAAUUUUUUGGGUCAGAUACUGUACCACGUGCCUCGAUAGGCCAUAGUGAAUGA
Molecule: long non-coding RNA, 1112 nt
Organism: Numida meleagris (helmeted guineafowl)
Lineage: Eukaryota; Metazoa; Chordata; Aves; Galliformes; Numididae
Source: Ensembl